AGUGCCAACGUGCAUGUGAACUUCAGAAUUAAACAAGGGCUAUUGUUUUUGCCUGGGAGCUUCAUUCAUUCUGAAGAUGUCACAGGGAAUUUUGGAAUGUAUAUCCAUAACUUCCUGAAUUUCUCCCACAUUCCAGCCCACCUGAUCAAUGGAGGCAAAAACCAAGAGAUCCCAUAAAUCCUGCUGCGCUCGUCAGAGCUGCCAAGUACUGGAUCGAACGGAGAGCUCUCAGAGCUGUGUGUUAGCUAAACAGCAGAUUCAACUCAGAAGAAGAGUGAUUUGGAAUUAAAGCCAUAGAGACCACUGAUGACAGCAUGAACUCCCAAUUUCUCGGCACACCUGGGGGACACGUUGAGGAGUGUCACUCUCUGAUCUCUCAGCUGGUUGAGAAAAAUCUGUACCAGUUGUUACCCUUGCUGGAGCCAGACAGGGUCAUCUGACCACAGCAGGAGGCAGCGAGGAGCAGCAGGCGUGGAGCCGAGACAAGAUUUCAGCGGGAGGACAGUUUCCUGGAAGAAGCUUGGUCCAGAAGCUCCAUCUCAGGGUCCCAUGAGCACCUUUCAGAGCUUCCCUCUCCCUAGCAUCCAUCUCCAGGAGCUUUGAAAAAAUGCUUGCAUUUUUAAGAAUUUUUUAAAAACUUUAUGUCAAAGCAACACACACACACAGGAACAAAUAUAAAAGUAGAAGAGAGAUGAUGUUGAAAAGCAGCCUUCUCACUCCAGCCCUUUCCCAAAAGGGACUUUAGCUGGCCCUUGCUUUAAUUCUUCUGGAAUUUCCUGUGCUGCUCUAUGAUUAUACCUCUACUGUUUCAUUUAUCAAUUUUGGGCAAUAUCUUUUGACUCCUAAGUAGGAAGAUAAGGAUUUAGCUCACCUACCCACUCUUUCCUCUUUGCCCUCCUCUCUCUUUUAAUUUUGUAACUGCUUUAUUGAGCUGGAAUUCACAUACCAUAAAGUUCACCCUGUUAAAAUGUCCAA
Molecule: long non-coding RNA, 975 nt
Organism: Equus caballus (horse)
Lineage: Eukaryota; Metazoa; Chordata; Mammalia; Perissodactyla; Equidae
Source: RefSeq, a predicted model, not a curated record